RNAcentral lists this ribosomal RNA (200 nucleotides) under uncultured bacterium. RNAcentral describes it as "partial 16S ribosomal RNA". It matches the Rfam family "Bacterial small subunit ribosomal RNA", at positions 335 to 524 of the family's 1533-position model. The record is from RNAcentral.
ACUCCUACGGGAGGCAGCAGUAGGGAAUCUUCCGCAAUGGGCGAAAGCCUGACGGAGCAACGCCGCGUGAGUGAUGAAGGGUUUCGGCUCGUAAAACUCUGUUAUUAGGGAAGAACAAAUGUGUAAGUAACUGUGCACAUCUUGACGGUACCUAAUCAGAAAGCCACGGCUAACUACGCUGUGCCAGCAGCCGCGGUAAU